This 395-nucleotide ribosomal RNA is filed under the name uncultured bacterium. RNAcentral's name for it is "bacterial SSU rRNA". It matches the Rfam family "Bacterial small subunit ribosomal RNA", at positions 505 to 898 of the family's 1533-position model. The record is from RNAcentral.
GUGUCAGCAGCCGCGGUAAUACGUAGGGGGCGAGCGUUGUCCGGAUUUACUGGGCGUAAAGAGCGCGUAGGCGGUUUGGCAAGUUGGCUGUGAAAUGCCUGGGCUUAACCUGGGUCUGUCGGCCGAGACUGCUGGACUAGAGGGCGGUAGAGGAAGGUGGAAUUCCGGGUGUAGUGGUGAAAUGCUUAGAGAUCCGGAGGAACACCGGUGGCGAAGGCGGCCUUCUGGGCCGUUCCUGACGCUGAGGCGCGAAAGCGUGGGUAGCGAACUGAAUUAGAUACUCAGGUAGUCCACGCCCUAAACGAUGGACGCUAGGUGUAGGGGGUAUCGACUCCUCCUGUGCCGAAGCUAACGCAUUAAGCGUCCCGCCUGGGGAGUACGGCCGCAAGGCUAAA